AUUGAACGCUGGCGGCAGGCCUAACACAUGCCAGUCGAGCGGAUGAAGGGAGCUUGCUCCUGGAUUCAGCGGCGGACGGGUGAGUAAUGCCUAGGAAUCUGCCUGGUAGUGGGGGAUAACGUCCGGAAACGGGCGCUAAUACCGCAUACGUCCUGAGGGAGAAAGUGGGGGAUCUUCGGACCUCACGCUAUCAGAUGAGCCUAGGUCGGAUUAGCUAGUUGGUGGGGUAAAGGUCUACCAAGGCGACGAUCCGUAACUGGUCUGAGAGGAUGAUCAGUCACACUGGAACUGAGACACGGUCCAGACUCCUACGGGAGGCAGCAGUGGGGAAUAUUGGACAAUGGGCGAAAGCCUGAUCCAGCCAUGCCGCGUGUGUGAAGAAGGUCUUCGGAUUGUAAAGCACUUUAAGUUGGGAGGAAGGGCAGUAAGUUAAUACCUUGCUGUUUUGACGUUACCAACAGAAUAAGCACCGGCUAACUUCGUG
RNAcentral lists this ribosomal RNA (484 nucleotides) under uncultured bacterium. RNAcentral's name for it is "partial 16S ribosomal RNA". It matches the Rfam family "Bacterial small subunit ribosomal RNA", at positions 30 to 507 of the family's 1533-position model. The record is from RNAcentral.